UACGUAGGGGGCAAGCGUUAUCCGGAUUUACUGGGUGUAAAGGGAGCGUAGACGGCAGUGCAAGUCUGAUGUGAAAGCCCGGGGCUCAACCCCGGGACUGCAUCGGAAACUGUGCAGCUAGAGUGUCGGAGAGGUAAGUGGAAUUCCUAGUGUAGCGGUGAAAUGCGUAGAUAUUAGGAGGAACACCAGUGGCGAAGGCGGCUUACUGGACGAUAACUGACGUUGAGGCUCGAAAGCGUGGGGAGCAAACAGG
RNAcentral lists this ribosomal RNA (253 nucleotides) under uncultured bacterium. RNAcentral's name for it is "partial 16S ribosomal RNA". It matches the Rfam family "Bacterial small subunit ribosomal RNA", at positions 524 to 776 of the family's 1533-position model. The record is from RNAcentral.